This 253-nucleotide ribosomal RNA is filed under the name uncultured bacterium. RNAcentral's name for it is "partial 16S ribosomal RNA". It matches the Rfam family "Bacterial small subunit ribosomal RNA", at positions 524 to 776 of the family's 1533-position model. The record is from RNAcentral.
CACGUAGGUUGCGAGCGUUACUCGGAAUCACUAGGCGUAAAGCGCGUGUAGGCGGUAUUUUAAGUCUGUUGUGAAAUCUUAUGGCUCAACCAUAAAAUGUCGACAGAUACUGAAGUACUAGAGUGAGGCAGGGGAAACUGGAAUUCCAGGUGUAGCGGUGGAAUGCGUAGAUAUCUGGAAGAACGCCAAAGGCGAAGGCAGGUUUCUGGGCCUUUACUGACGCUGAGGCGCGAAAGCUAGGGGAGCAAACAGG